UGACGUUGUUGAUGAGUGCCCUUUGUCUCCGCUGCCAUCUCCCAUCAGCAUCCACAAUUGCAGACUUUGUUUUCUGAAUGAGAGGACGCAUUCUUCCAAAGGGAUGACCUCUCUUCUCCCUGCUGGCCCUGGCACUGCUGACACCAGCCCAGCAGCCGUCUCUCCCUCCAUAUUUGAUUGUCUUUUCUCUCUCAAAGGCCCCCAGCCGGAAAUCUGACUGAUACACAGAGUGUGUAAAUUAUUGUGUCAAGGCAACGAGAGAAAGAUGGAACAUAAUUGGCCCAGACUCCUGCAGUGCCAAGAGAAGAAAGCCCCUCUCAUAAGAUUGCAAACUGUCUGAUGACACUGUUCUUCUGAGUGAUGGAAGCCCUUCAAGAAAGAAGCAGAAUACUGAAGAUGAAGCUAGAACUGUGAGUCUGUUGACACUUAGC
This is a long non-coding RNA of Sinocyclocheilus anshuiensis, 431 nucleotides long. RefSeq lists it as uncharacterized. The transcript has 3 exons. NCBI's taxonomy places the organism in Eukaryota, Metazoa, Chordata, Actinopteri, Cypriniformes, Cyprinidae. The record is from RefSeq and is a predicted model, not a curated record.